AGUAUACAAUUUAUUUCUCCAUGGGCAACAAGACAUGCCAGCAACUGCACGGCUACUUCUCCAUUUAGCCAGACAGAGAAUAAAGGGUCCCUGUAUUCAUGCCUUCCUGGAAAUCUCAGUGCAAGGCCCUAUCAGGAGGUUUCCUGGAGCAGCUAAGGGAACAGCUAGACCACCCAGGAAGAAAUGACAGAAGCCUACCUGACUUCCAAUCUGCUUGCUUCAUGGUGUAAUGGGGGCCUAGACAGAAGCACCCCAAGGACACUUACAACAACUGUUCUGCCAGCUCUAGUCCAUUGGAGAAGAUGUGCCAACAUACCUUCUCACCAUCCCUAGAGCCCAACCUUGCUAUGGAAAGGUCAAACCCUUACCAUUGGCCCUGCCAAGGAUCCCCAGACAGAGAAGCACAAUGGAGGCCAUAAAUUAUGGCUUCUUAUCAUGGCCUCCACAUAACUUAAACUCUGGAUGGUGAAUGAAAUCUGGGGCCAAGUCUUAAAGGGUCAGGGUAGCCAAUGAGCAUAACUCAAUAUUUGUGUUUCUAAGAGAAAACCACAGAACCUCCAUAUCCAUGGCAAACUGGCCAGCCACAGGCUGGAUCCAGUGUGCAGUAGUGUUUUGUGUACACCAUUCACUAUUUGUCUACUUGGGUUAAAAAUGUUUUAUAUUAGUUAGCAAUGUUUAAACAUUGGGAGAAUUAAAGGGAAAUGAAAACGUACUUCCCACAAAUACUUGCACAUAAAUAUUCACAGCAGCAUUGUUUAUAAUUGCCCAAAACUAGAAACAACCCAAAUAUCCAUCAACUGAUGAAUGAUAAACAAGUUGUGGUAUAUUCAUCCAAUAAAACAAUAUUCAGCAAUAAAAAUAAACAAAUCAGGCACUUAAUAUAAUUGAAUAUCAAGGUCAUUAUGUUGAGUGAAAGAGGCCAGAAAAUAAAAGUAUACACUAUUUGAUUCCAUUUAUAUAAUAUUCUAGAAAAUGAAAACCAGUCUAUACUUACAGAAAACAAGGUGGUAGCUUACAGAGAUGGGGUAGAGGGAGGGAGAGAUGACAGAGAGGCAUAAAAAAACUUUCCGGACAAUGAAAAUGUUCUGUAUUUUAAUUGUGGUGAUGGUUUCAUGGAUGUACAAGUUCAUCAAAUCUCAUCAAGUUAAAUAUAUGCAUUUAUUUUAUAUUAAGUGUACCUCAAUAAAGCAGAAAAAUUUAAAAUUGGUAAUAUUUAUAUACAAAUUGAGAUAUCUAUAUUUCUUGAAAAUCAAAAUGUCUGACAUCAUUUGGUCUACAUAUUUAUCUGCCAAAAAUACAGGAGAUAGACAGUAGCUGUCCUUUAGAAGGGGCAUACCCUUUCGAGUUUGCAACAGGCCUUCAUACUUCCUGCUGCUUACCCAGCAUUCAUUACAUGUUUAUUGUCAUUUAUUUAAGUUACUUAUUGUGAACCUAAUGCAUGUAUGGCCUCAUUCUAGGUACUGGAGACUAAACAUGCAAACACACCUAACUGGCAUGGUUUCCAUUUGCCUAAUUGUCACGGGGUACCAUGAAGUUUACAUUUUAGUGAGAUUGGAGAAAGAUAGACAUUUAGAGUUAAUAAGUUGGAUAAAUAGUAUAUUAGGUGGAAAGAAGUAUAAGAAAAAAACAUACAGCCAGGAAGAAGUAUAGACAGUUCCAGAGCUAAAAUGUUAGCCAUGGAUCCCAGGAAGUCCUCACUGAAAGGUGACUUUGGGAGGAAACCUGUAGAAGGUGAGGAAUUGAGCUAUGCAUAUAACCCAGGGAAGAGCAUUCUAGACAGACAUGACAGUCCAUGAGAAGAUUCUAGGCAAGGGAGGUAGCCCAGGGUCUUCAACCAACAGCAAGGAGGCUAAUCUAGCUUGGCACAGAGUAACAAGAGAUGAGAUCAGAGAAAUAACAGGGUAGAGAUGGUGUGGAGUCUUAUAGAUUAUUGAAGGGAGUUUGUCAUUUACUGGAUGAAAUAGGAAGCCUUUGGAGGGUGUUGUUAAUUGUAAUCAUGAUAGGGUUAUUACUUUUCUUAUAGUAGAGUUCAAAAGAAAGGAAAACUUAUUUUUGUAACCAGGUCAUUAACCUGGCCCCUGUAGACAUCUGAGUUUGUAAUUUCUGUCAUAUUUUAUCUAAAUAUCAUGAUAGAGAACAAAAUAUCUGACUGGUUCUGUACUGAUAGGCAGUCAGUCAUGCUGGCUAACUUUCAGAAAUAUGCCAUGUUUGGUGGUCUCCUUUCUCUCUGUUUUCUCUAGGUUGAAUAUGGGGAUUCAACCACAUCACUUCACUCUCUCACCCCUUAUAGCACACGCUUCUCUCCCUUUCCUUGGCAUCCCCUGGCCCUAUCAUGACCUGAGGUCUUCCCUACCACUUUGGGGGCUCCCAUCUAAAAAUGCAUUCUAAGUCCUCUACCUGGAACUAAUUUAUCUCCAGGUCUACACUACUGAUAACAAGAUAUACGAUCCCUUGCAAAGGAACUUGUAACACCCUGAAAUUACUCAGAAAUCACACCUCACAGGAGAUUGAGACCAUCCUGGCUAACACGGUGAAACCCCGUCUCUACUAAAAAUACAAAAAAUUAGCCAGGCGUGGUGGUGGGCGCCUGUAGUCCCAGCUACUCAGGAGGCUGAGGCAGGAGAAUGGCAUGAACCCAGGAGGAGGACCUUGCAGUGAGCCGAGAUCGCGCCACUGCACUCCAGCCCGGGCGACAGAGCAAGACUCCGUCUCAAAAAAAAAAAAAAAAAAAGAAAGAAAAGAAAUCACACCUCACAGGCAAACUCUGUAAGUGGGCUCCUGUAGGAAAGCAGCCUGUUGCAUGGCAAGAAAAAUGCCAUCUUGAAGUGAAAUCGUCAUUAAUUCCUGCAUAUCCAGGCAUUCCCACAGCAAGGUCAAGAAACAAUGCCUAUAUCAUAGAUAACUUCUCAUAAAGAUGCUUCUCUAACUUCCCCAGUGGUCAUGAAUGUCAUAAGAGGGUCUGAGACGUGACCAGCAGCGCAUGUCUUACCAAAAAAAAAAGCUUGCUACAGAAAGGAUAUUUUCUGGAGUGCCGAGUGUGGGGAUCCAUCAUCUUGUGGCUACCCAAAGCAUGGCUUCUGUUUGUUACGUCCCUACUAAAUGUUUCUUUCUGGGAAACUGAAUUUGUCAGCCUCUUUCUUUGGCCUGUCAGCUCUCUUGGCUUUCGGGGGUAGAUCUGCAUAUACCUACUCACCCAGAACAUUUGGUGAGUCAGUCAGGAGCUAAGAGGCCAAGAGACAGGAAAGGGGAAUGAAGCAUCUGUACGGGAAAUCCCAGGCCAGCCACGUCUAUGUGGGAUGGUGUGGCACGUCUGUUAGAUGCAUUUGGACUCUGUGUGACUAUGGAGACACCCUGAACAAGCUGGUUGGCCUAGAGUGGUUAUUAACUGAAAGGCAUAUGGUGCAGUGUGGUAAGGAAGGGCAGUGGAUAGCCACUGCAGUGGGUUGGCUGCUUCUGUGGGCCAUUUGUUUGUCAACACAGGUUUAGCUAGCAAUAGAAAUGAAAAGCAAAUGGCUAGAGGAAAAUUGCACCAACCUGAUAGAAAAGGACAUGUGCCUUUUCACUUCUCUGAUUGCGUCCAGUGUAGCUACAUGUUUUACCAAAAAAAAAAAGAAAAAAAAAAAGCCUGCUAUAGAAAGAAUAUUUCAGGAGGGUAGGUGUGGAAAUCUAUGGUCUCUCAGCUGCCCAAGGCAUUGCUUCUGUUCAUAGGUUCCUAUCAAAUGUUUCUUUCUGAGAAACUGGAUUUGUCAGCCUCUUUUCUCUGGCUUCCCAGCUUCCUUGGCCUUUGAGGGGGAGACCUGCAUAUAUCUGUUCACUGCAGAACAGCCCCAUACAUGAAAUGAAUUUUGAGAUUAGAGGAAGAAGUUUCAUUUAUAAGCCCAAAGCAAACAAUUAGGAAAAAAAAUUAUGCUCAGGAAGUUAGGGACUAAGAACUAACCUAAUUACAGGGCUAAAGAAGGAAAUUUGGCCAAAAUAAUCUGACAGAAUGCAAUUUCAACAAAGGCAAAUUAAACCAAGGUAAGUCACUCCAUGUACAUUUGUGUCUAAAUUAAUAUCCCUAGUCACAAAUAACAACUUAAACUUAUAGAAGUAGUUGAUGAAACCAGCUGACACAGAGAGCCAUGUAUCAAUCUUGAUUAUAGAACCUUCUGGAGAUCAUGGUUAUUUCAAAAUAUAUGGACACUGAGGGUGCAUCAAAAGGGCUAAAAGAUUAUGGCUAGAAGAUAAAAUAGAUGUGUCUCUCUAUUCCUUUCUCUAGAUAUAGCUAAAAUCUCUGGACAUCAUACAUAAACAUAAAAAUACUCGGAAAGGUGGAGACAAAAAAACAGGUCAGUUAGGGACUUUGAAACCUUAAAAAACAGCAUGGCACUGAGGUCUCUAGAUUUCCUCGUGCCUUAUAUAUUUCAUACUGGAUGCUAGAGAAGCCUGCAACCCAAAAUACCAACAUACACUGAUAAAAGAAAAAAAAGCCCCAAGAAAACCAAGGAAGGGUCAAAGGGUCAGCCUAGUGAAAAAGAAAAAAUCAUCUAAUUAAUUCAAUUUUUAAAAAAUAAUUUCAACUUUUAUUUUAGAUUCAAGGAAUAAAUGUGUAGGUUUGUUUCCUGGGUAUACUGUAUGAUGCUGAGGUUUGGGGUAUGAUUGACCCUGUCACCCAGACAGUGAUCAUAGUACCCAAUAGCUUUUCAACCCUUGCCCUCCCCCUUCCCUUGCCCCUUUAGCGGUCUCCAGUGUCUAUUGUUUCCAUAUUUAUGUCCAUGAGUAUCCACUGUUUAGCUCCAACUUAUAAGUGAAAAGAUGUGGUAUUUGUUUUUCUGUUUCUGUAUUGAUUAGCUUAUGAUAUGGUUAGGCUCUGUGUCCCCACCCAAAUCUCAUCUUGAAUUUUAAUCCCCAUAAUCCCCAUAUGUUGAGGGUGGAACAGGUGCAGAUAAUUGAAUCAUAGGGGCAGUUUCCUCUAUGCUGUUCUUAUGAUAAUGAGUGAGUUUUCAUGAGAUCCAAUGGUUUUAUAAGGGGCUUCCCCUCUUCACUUGGCACUCACUCCAUCCUGCCACCCUAUGAAGAAGGUGCAUGCUUUUCCUUUGCCUUCUGCCAUGAUUGUAAGUUUCCUGAGGCCUCCCCAGCAAUACGGAACUGUGAGUUAAUUAAAUCUCUUUCCUUUAUAAAUUACCAAGUCUCAGGUAUUUCUUCAUAGCAGCAUGAGAAUGGACUAAUACAGCUUAGGAUAAUGGCCUUCAGCUGCAUCCAUGUUGCUACAAAGGACAUGAUUUUCUUCCUUUCUAUGGCUACAUAGUAUCCUACGGUACAUAUAUACCACACUUUCUUUAUGCAGUCCACCAUUGACGGGCACCUAGGUUGAUUCUGUGUCUUUGCUAUUAUGAAUACUGCUACAAUGUACAAACAAGUACAUGUGUCUUUUCGGUAGAAUAAUUUAUUUUCUUUUGAAUAUAUACCCAGUAAUGAGAUUGCUGGGUCAAGUGGUAGUUCUAAGUUCCUUGAGAAAUCUCCAAAGUGCAGAAAUAAAAUUUUUGACAAUAACCACCCAACUCCAGCCAAACAUUAGGAGGAAAACUGUAGCCCUGUCCUGAUCCCAUCAGCAAAGGCCAAGUGGGAACGCUAUACUUCCACCUUUACCCAGAUGUAAUGAGGUGCUCUCUUUCCUCCUGAGAGUGCCAAUGAAAGCUGCACUGGGAACCUAAACCUCUACCCCCAUGUGGCAGUUAUGGGGCAGCACUUUCCUUUCCAUGCUGAUGUGGUUUCAGAUGAGGCUUGCUGAAACAGAAAAUUUAAACAAGAUCCAGAGUCUUCUGACUUAAUGCCUCAAAUGUCCACAAUAUUAAAGUUUACUCAUCACACCAAAAACCAAAAAAAAACUCAAUGUGAAUGAGAAAAGACAAUAACCAGAUGCUGUCUUAGUCUAUUUUGUGCUGCUACAGCUGAUCACCGACUGGGUAAUUUAUAAUAAACAGAAAUUUAUUGGCUCAUGGUUCCAGAGGCAGGGAAAUCCAAGAUCAAGAGGCCAGCAUCUGGCGAGGGCUUUCUUGCUAUGUCAUCCCAUGGUGGAAGAGCAAAGAGAGAAUAAGAGAGGGAGAGUAAGAAAGGAGAGGGGCAGAAAGAGAGGGCUGAACUUGUUUAAUUAAAAAAACAAACCCACUCCCAUAAUAAUGAACCCAGUCCAGUGAUGACAGCAUUAAUC
This 6190-nucleotide long non-coding RNA is filed under the name Homo sapiens (human). RNAcentral describes it as "HSALNT0328921". The record is from RNAcentral. Lineage: Eukaryota; Metazoa; Chordata; Mammalia; Primates; Hominidae.